UGGUUUUUUUUUAAUUCUUCGCUCGCUAUGUACCGUGAACAGAAAAUCAUGUCCAAGUGAACACAGUCUAAAGAAGAAUGUAAAGCCAUAGUGAGUAUAGUUGAUGAGAGGGUGGAAGAGAAAGAAGAAAGAGUUAAGUUAGAAAAGAGAGAGGAAAAAGAAGAGAGCAUAUGUGAGGGUGAGACGAAAAAGAAAGAGAAAAACAGGGAAGAGAAAAAAAUUGAGAAAAAUGAAAAAGAUCUUCCUUAUUGUAGGGGGCGUGAGAGAAUUGAAAAAGAGAGAUAAUAUGAGCGUUUUAAGGAGAUUUUCAGGCAAUUGGAGAUCACAAUACCAGUGACCAAAGCACUGCAACAAAUUCCGGGUUGUCCUUGACAGAACCCUUAUGUGUGAGAACUUAUUUUCCUUUAUACUCUCUUUCUCUAUUUAUAUUAUUUUUGCAUGUCUCUCUCUAUUCUUUUUCAUUCCCCAUUUUCUAUAACAGGGUGCGUAUUU
Molecule: long non-coding RNA, 492 nt
Filed under: Vigna radiata
Lineage: Eukaryota; Viridiplantae; Streptophyta; Magnoliopsida; Fabales; Fabaceae
Description: long non-coding RNA (VRAD_LNC006900)
Source: RNAcentral